UACGUAGGGUGCGAGCGUUAAUCGGAUUUACUGGGCGUAAAGCGUGCGCAGGUGGCCCGUUAAGACAGGUGUGAAAUCCCUGGGCUCAACCUAGGAAUUGCGCUUGUGACUGGCGGGCUCGAGUACGGUAGAGGGGGGUGGAAUUCCUGGUGUAGCAGUGAAAUGCGUAGAGAUCAGGAGGAACACCGAUGGCGAAGGCAGCCCCCUGGGCCUGUACUGACGCUCAUGCACGAAAGCGUGGGGAGCAAACAGG
Molecule: ribosomal RNA, 253 nt
Filed under: uncultured microorganism
Description: partial 16S ribosomal RNA
Rfam family: Bacterial small subunit ribosomal RNA
Source: RNAcentral